GCGUUCUACACGUAGAACACACCGUGAACUGUAUGGAGAGUUGGGGGUCGUCCCGUCGAGGACGUCAAACGAUGAGAGCGCCCGCACUCCGGGUUGAUUCUCACGGCCCCCACGUUUAUUUUUUCCAACUAACACCUUUACUGCAGAAAGCGUGUCCGCCUUGAACGGACARAAAAUUAAAAGUUC
Molecule: unclassified non-coding RNA, 186 nt
Filed under: Bunodosoma cangicum
Lineage: Eukaryota; Metazoa; Cnidaria; Anthozoa; Actiniaria; Actiniidae
Description: partial internal trasncribed spacer 1
Source: RNAcentral